This 343-nucleotide RNase P RNA is filed under the name Chloroflexota bacterium. RNAcentral describes it as "Chloroflexi bacterium RNase P RNA component class A". It matches the Rfam family "Bacterial RNase P class A". From Rfam's summary of the family: Ribonuclease P (RNase P) is a ubiquitous endoribonuclease, found in archaea, bacteria and eukarya as well as chloroplasts and mitochondria. Its best characterised activity is the generation of mature 5'-ends of tRNAs by cleaving the 5'-leader elements of precursor-tRNAs. Cellular RNase Ps are ribonucleoproteins. The record is from RNAcentral. Lineage: Bacteria; Bacillati; Chloroflexota.
CGGGCCGGCCAGGCGGUCGCCCCACCAUCACGUCGGGGAGGAAAGUCCGCACUCCAUCGAGCACGGCAGCGGGUAACGCCCGUCGUCCAACGUCGGUACGUCCGGCGAAGGGCAGGAACAGGGGCACAGUGACGAUGCCCGGCGCUUGUGACACCCCUUCGGGGAACACGCACGUAUACGCGCCAGGCGUGAAACGGCCAACCUCUGCCGGGAGCAAGGCCAAGCCGGGACGCUUGCAGGCUGCUCGCCAAGUCCCAGGUGGGCCGCACGAGGCCGGCGGCAACGCCGGUCCCAGAUAGAUGACCGCCCACGACAGAAUGCGGCUUAUCGGCCGGUUCGGCGG